Molecule: ribosomal RNA, 966 nt
Filed under: uncultured Verrucomicrobiaceae bacterium
Lineage: Bacteria; Pseudomonadati; Verrucomicrobiota; Verrucomicrobiia; Verrucomicrobiales; Verrucomicrobiaceae
Description: bacterial SSU rRNA
Rfam family: Bacterial small subunit ribosomal RNA
Source: RNAcentral
UGCAGUCGAACGGAGUAACAUGAGUAGUAAUACAAGUGUUGCUCAGCGUCGCACGGGUGCGUAACACGUGAGUUACAUGCCCUGCAGAGAGGGAUAGCCCAGGGAAACUUGGAUUAAUACCUCAUGGUCUCGCAAGAGUAAAGAUGGCCGUAAGGCUGUCGCUGCAGGAUUGGCUCGCGGCCUAUCAGCUAGUUGGUGAGGUAACGGCUCACCAAGGCUACGACGGGUACCUGGUCUGAGAGGACGAUCAGGCACACUGGAACUGAGACACGGUCCAGACACCUACGGGUGGCAGCAGUCGAGAAUCAUUCACAAUGGGGGCAACCCUGAUGGUGCAACGCCGCGUGGAGGAAGAAGGUCUUCGGAUUGUAAACUCCUGUCAUCUAGGAGCAAGGCAUGGUGGUGAAUAGCCAACAUGAUUGAUAGUACUAGAAGAGGAAGGGACGGCUAACUUCGUGCCAGCAGCCGCGGUAAUACGAAGGUCCCGAGCGUUAUUCGGAAUCACUGGGCGUAAAGGGAGCGUAGGCGGCGUGGAAAGUCAGAUGUGAAAUCCCAGAGCUUAACUCUGGAACUGCAUCCGAUACUACCAUGCUAGAGUAUUGGAGGGGUAACUGGAAUUCUCGGUGUAGCAGUGAAAUGCGUAGAUAUCGAGAGGAACACUCGUGGCGAAAGCGAGUUACUGGACAAUUACUGACGCUGAGGCUCGAAGGCUAGGGGAGCAAAAGGGAUUAGAUACCCCUGUAGUCCUAGCAGUAAACGGUGCACGCUUGGUUUGAGGGGAAUCGACCCCCUUCGAGCCGGAGCUAACGCGUUAAGCGUGCCGCCUGGGAAGUACGGUCGCAAGACUAAAACUCAAAGAAAUUGACGGGGACCCGCACAAGCGGUGGAGUAUGUGGCUUAAUUUCGAUGCACGCGAAGAAUCUUACCUAGGCUUGACAUGCAUUUCUAAAUACGUGAAAGCGUAUG